GUGGCCUUCAUGGUGAACAAAACACGUAUGUAUGCUGGAAGCACUCAUCUGGGGGGAGGGGCCCCUUAGAACAUGAGGAAGUUCACACUUUCUUGCUGGUUUUAGUUUGGAGGGGCAGUUUGUUUCCAGUUUUGUUCUUGGAUGUAGGGUAGAAAUUUUAUUCCUGGAUAGUAAAUUACAUGUAUAAUGUUGAGAUCCGGUACUGUAGUAACAGAAACAAACCAUAUUACCAGAAGUUGAUGCAGGUUUAUUUGCAAGGGACCUGGAAUGUGUAUAUGAAAAAUGGCUGUUAGUGUUGUGUGUGUCAAAAUCCUGAUUCUUUAUCUGACCUAUCUCAUAGAUGACACCGAGGACCGUAUCGAGAAUCGGCCCAGCAAUAUUGCUCAAAAGGAAGCUCCCUACUCUGAUGAGAUUGCAUAGGAUGCUGCUUCCAGAUUGGAAGAAACAAUGGGCAGAAGUCACAAAGAUCAUCCUCUGGCUCUGUUCGAAGUUUUUGGUCCUGGCACCGCAAGAGGUUACACUCAGCAGGAAAGCUCUCCGUAAUUUUGGAGGAGCAGUCUAUCAUCACUGGAGAAGACAAGUCAUCUUUCUCCACAACCAUGAUGAAGGAGGGGCCUACCAGCAGCGGUGUGUAUUCAGAGAUCAUCACUCCAGUGACGAACAAUCUGGGUGUAGUAGAAUGUGGGGCUUUCUUGCUGGCAUUGGUUGCAGAGCCUCCAGAUCCUGGGGUCCUUUUGGAAAGAGAGUUGGGGGUGUAGAGCAUGCAGCUUUUUGCCACUCAUAG
RNAcentral lists this long non-coding RNA (784 nucleotides) under Sus scrofa (pig). RNAcentral describes it as "lncRNA (ENSSSCG00040067380.1)". Lineage: Eukaryota; Metazoa; Chordata; Mammalia; Artiodactyla; Suidae. The record is from RNAcentral.